CCUACGGGAGGCAGCAGUGGGGAAUAUUGCACAAUGGGCGCAAGCCUGAUGCAGCCAUGCCGCGUGUAUGAAGAAGGCCUUCGGGUUGUAAAGUACUUUCAGCGGGGAGGAAGGCGAUGUGGUUAAUAACCGCGUCGAUUGACGUUACCCGCAGAAGAAGCACCGGCUAACUCCGUGCCAGCAGCCGCGG
RNAcentral lists this ribosomal RNA (190 nucleotides) under uncultured Pantoea sp. Its description in RNAcentral is "partial 16S ribosomal RNA". It matches the Rfam family "Bacterial small subunit ribosomal RNA", at positions 338 to 520 of the family's 1533-position model. Lineage: Bacteria; Pseudomonadati; Pseudomonadota; Gammaproteobacteria; Enterobacterales; Erwiniaceae. The record is from RNAcentral.